This 441-nucleotide ribosomal RNA is filed under the name uncultured bacterium. RNAcentral's name for it is "partial 16S ribosomal RNA". It matches the Rfam family "Bacterial small subunit ribosomal RNA", at positions 338 to 795 of the family's 1533-position model. The record is from RNAcentral.
CCUACGGGAGGCAGCAGUGGGGAAUAUUGCACAAUGGGGGGAACCCUGAUGCAGCGACGCCGCGUGGGUGAAGGAGUAUUUCGGUAUGUAAAGCCCUAUCAGCAGGGAAGAACAAUGACGGUACCUGAGUAAGAAGCCCCGGCUAACUACGUGCCAGCAGCCGCGGUAAUACGCAGGGGGCAAGCGUUAUCCGGAUUUACUGGGUGUCAAGGGAGCGUAGACGGCAGUGCAAGUCUGGAGUGAAAGGCGGGGGCUCAACCCCCGGACUGCUGUGGAAACUGUACGGCUGGAGUGCAGGAGAGGUAAGUGGAAUUCCUGGUGUAGCGGUGAAAUGCGUAGAUAUUAGGAGGAACACCAGUGGCGAAGGCGGCUUACUGGACUGUAACUGACGUUGAGGCUCGAAAGCGUGGGGAGCAAACAGGAUUAGAUACCCCAGUAGUC